ACGUAGGGGGCGAGCGUUAUUCGGAAUUACUGGGUGUAAAGGGUAUGUAGGCGGCCUGACAAGUCGCGUGUCAAAGUCCAGCGCUUAACGCUGGGUUCGCACGCGAUACUGUCUGGCUAGAGGGCUGGAGAGGUGAGCGGAAUUCCCGGUGUAGUGGUAAAAUACGUAGAUAUCGGGAGGAACACCAGCGGCGUAGGCGGCUCACUAGACAGUUUCUGACGCUAAGAUACGAAAGCGUGGGGAGCAAACAG
Molecule: ribosomal RNA, 251 nt
Filed under: uncultured prokaryote
Description: partial 16S rRNA
Rfam family: Bacterial small subunit ribosomal RNA
Source: RNAcentral